This is a long non-coding RNA of Gallus gallus (chicken), 4981 nucleotides long. RefSeq lists it as uncharacterized. The transcript has 2 exons. NCBI's taxonomy places the organism in Eukaryota, Metazoa, Chordata, Aves, Galliformes, Phasianidae. The record is from RefSeq and is a predicted model, not a curated record.
UCUGCAGUGGAAUGGGUACUUAUUAUCCAGCGAUCACUCUUUUUUCCACCUUGAAGCAUUUCUCACUUGGAGUUGCUAUGGCCUCACAAGACCUCCCUAUGAAUGUAUCUCAGGCAGGUUUCUCUAACCUAGGUCCAGAACUACUGUAAAGCACCUAAUUACCAGGAAAGCUAAGCGCCCCAAUUCCCUUCUCAACCCCUGGCUAUGUUAAUGGCGUGCUAGCAUUUUACACCCACUGAAAGUCUGGCCCUUCAAGCGCCACUGAGUUCAGAACUAUGGCAACAGCCUGUGACAGAUCCUAGACUUCAUUUUCUCCAUUUACAAGUCAAAAUGCCACACAAGCAGCAAUUAAUGCUUGAAAGAUCAGUUCCACUUGUCCUAACACAAAUACAAUAUAUUGACUUUACAAGGUUGCUUGCUACUGAAAACAAGAAAAGAAAACUAAUGUCUUUGUCCAGACACUAAGCUACCCCUUCAGUGUAUGUUCUCAAGCAAGUUCUAGCUCCUAAACCUCAGUAAAGCUAAGGUUUGUGAGCAAUUGUAAGCAGCAGCUGAUACUAAAAGACAAGCUCCCCCAGAGAAAUUGUCCAUGUGGCAUAUUUGUACCAACCAGUAUCAUCGCUGUCUUCAAAGUCUUGCUCAGGGAUCGGGAAGUCAUCCUUCAUUCUUGGGAAGUUCACUAAAACAACAAAAUGGGAAGAACUGUUUGUUUAAAGAGGCCUUUUAGAGGCAUUAUUGCCACCAGUCACUGGACUAUGUGACUGAAGAAAACGAUAGCUUAACUACUGCAAGGUUCUUCCUCUUUCUCUGUUGGCCAAACUCAACAAACACACAUGCACUGAAGAAAACAGGAUCCUCCCACUACAUCAUAUUUCACAACCACCAGAUGACCAGCUUUUAAGAAGAAAAAGGUAGAAUGAAAAGCAAAGAAACCGGAUAAUCUGAAUAGCGCUAAAAUAUUGUCGUUGGUGUCUACAUAAUGGCUAUAAUUCACUGUUAACACGCUCAAGAGUAUUAUCCUUAUAACUCUGAAUAGGAUUGUACUGCCUAUCAUUACUUACCACUAAUGUUAGACUCAUUCAGCCCACUCUACUUUUCAUCUUUCCGCAUGCAUCUUAAAGGACUCAGAGCUCCCAUGAGCCAGUUUCUCUCUGGGUUUCAUAUAAAUCCAUAAUAAUUUAAGGAAGUCAUAUAUCAUCAUAAUAUGUUUUAAUGCAAAAGCUGGUUGAAGGCAAAUGGGUGUCCAUAUCCAGGCAUUUAUGUUAACAUCCCUCUGAUCCAAAUUCCUUUUAGCAAUGCCAUUUCUUUCUAUUGUUCAGCACAGAUUAAGCACUAGUAACCAAAUGCAGAGGAUGUAAUAUGAGCAGAAGGGUGGUGGUUUUUUGUUUUCUUGUGUGUGUGUGUGUGUGUGUGUGUGUGUGUGUGUGUGUGUGUGUGUGUGUGUGUGUGUGUGUGUGUGUGUGUGUGUGUGUGUGUAGUCGUCUUAGCAUUAUCUCUAUGUAUAGUAACCGCAUUUCAUUUUCAGUUUUCCUAAAGAAAAUACCCCUUCAUUUUGAUCUGCUUAGAUUUCUCAAAGCUGGCUAUAACUCAGGGGUUCAGCAGAGACAAGACCUUCAGCAGAUCAGGAAUGCCAAAAAUCAGGGACUAGAAAGCAGUAGGAUUCACAUCCUUGAAAUAGUUGUGGUUGAAAACCAAGGAUAUUUUAUGUUUUGCACAGAAACAGCAAGAACAAUUUUAUGAGGUUAUUUAAAAAAAAAACAAGACCAAAGAAUAUAACUUGUGCCUAAAAGCCCAAUGUGUGAUGAAAUUAUUUGAAAGCAUGUAGAAGAUUAUUUGCACAUAUUGCACAGAGGUCUAGGACUGGAAAAGGUGUCCUGAAUCAUCAACUCCAUUUUCUGCUAUCACAGAGAAUGGUGUGGGGCAGCCCCUGCCAGCAAUAUUGCAAGGUUCACCGAGAGCAGAGCAGCUCUGCUGAGAGCCGUGCUGCCCAAAUCCCCCUUGCUGUCAGGAACCUUGGUGGUCAUCCUGUUUCCAAUUCAACUUGACAGCAUCUCAUGCUGGAGGGGAAACACGCACCGCACCCACUGAGCCACAUACUAUUUAACUCAUGUCUCAAGAGUUCCCUGCCCUGGAAGUCUGAUACCUUAACUUGUGUUGGUACAACUCUAGAAGCCGUGGCAAGCAGCAGCACCCAGGGCACGUGAGGGGCUCCCCACUGGAGACUGACAGCAGAAAUCCCAUGCGCUGGGAGCUUCCAUACUUGCAGAGUUGUCUCGAGCCCACCUCACUCAAAGAAUUAAGGAAUUUCUUUGAAUUUUCCAGAUAACCUGGCAACAGAACACGCACAGCACAACAGCUGCCCUUCCAGACGUUGAGCUGCACAUCAUGCGAGUCAUGGAAUUAAGGCAACCCUAGGCUGCUGCACUUCUAGAGCUGACAGCCCCAGACGGCAACAUCUCAGGGAUGGGAGAACUGCCUGAGGGCCUCUUGCAAACAUUUAGAGCUGAACAUGUGGAAAAUAACUUGCAAAGCAGAACACACACAAAGCCGUCUGCUCUCUGGUCCUCAGCCGGAGGACAAGCUGUGACGUCCUGCCGUCCCGCUGUCACCCGCACAACCCGUGGGACUGCAGGUUGUGUGAAUGAAAUGAGAUGGAAGCGGGGCCAUGGGCUGCCAGGGGAGCCAUGUGCAGGGGAGCAGUGUUGGAAGCCUUUUGCCCUUCUGUAUUCCAGCUCCCCUACAUUUUGUCUGAGAAUGCGUUAGCAAUUUGGUGCUCUUUUAUUUCCCAGGGUAGUGUUGAGGGAAAGGCCAGAAAAAAUAAAGUAUCAGUUAAUCAACGCUUUCAAAAGAAUACUGAUUCUUCAAGCCUGAAAGAAAGGAGCACUGGGAAAACUUGAAAAAAGAGAAUGCUUAUACAAAAAGCCAGCCCUGAAUCUAUUUGCUCUCCCUGCAAUUUUCUCAAUUCCCUCUGCUAAUAUGACUCCAAUUUCUGCUUAAAAGACAUCUUCCCCCUCACCGUUCCUCCCUUCUCCUCAGGCUGGUGGCAGAGCCUCGUCCUGCGCUCUGCACGCUGCAAUACUGCUAUUGGAUGGCAGUUGUGUCACGCAGGGCUCUACAUUGGCCCUGGAGCAACUCGGCCAGUCUUUUUCCAUGCUGGGGUUUCUGGAGUCAUUAACAAAAUCAGAUCUGGCUGCGGGACUGUCUGGGAAUUGGAGCCGCUGGUUGCAGCACCAAUCCUAUUGGAGAUGAUUUCCUGUCACAGAAAACAGCCUGCUAUUUGUCAUUAAUUAGGAUCCUUUGUGACAAAUCUCAGCCAUAUUGUCACAAGGGGAGCAGACCGUGAAAGCUGAUUCCCCAGCGCGCAGUCCCUAGGAAAGCCCAGCAAGAUACAGGGCAGAACAGGAUAAGCACGUAUUGCCCCAUGCUGGGGAGGGCAUCCUUCCUAAAAGGCAACUUCCAGGCAUGAUCUACUCUGCUUUUAAAUGUAGAGAGACAAGUAAAAUGAAAAAAGUACGCUGGAGAAAGGUAGGUGAGAUUGCAAAGGGUACCAGUGUGUAGCCACGAGGAGGGGUUUCUCCUCAGCAAAAGGCAGGAGCUGGACAGGGCUGAGCAUCCAGCCCUUUGUGCUGAAAAGCUGAUGUUAGCGACGUUGCUGCAAGCGGCCAGAUGCCAAGAAAAGGACACUAUCUGUUGGAUCUGAGAGCACCAUCAGCUAAAAGGCUAAUUUAUGGGGCCCGAAAAUGGAAGAUGAGACUCUAAUCAAAGACAAGGAGCAUCUUAAGUACCAUGCUGCCAUAAGCUUGCAUGUGAGGAGAGCGGGAAAGAAUCAGCGUUUGCAGAGAUUAAGGCCCUUUACCGCACAUCCCUGAACAUGGCAACAGCAGUGUGGGUCAGGCAAGGCCAAGGAGCUCCGCACAUUGGGCAAGGCUGCAGCAUCCCAGUGCCACGCACAUACUGCAUGCAUGAUCCCUAAACCCUGUGCCAGCUCUUCUUCUUCUGCUGUUUCCUUCUUGAUUGAUUUUUGUCUGAUUUAACCCCAGGCACUGAGUGCUGCCUCCUGCAGGGUUCCCGCAUCCUCAGACAGAGCUCUCCCUGUCACCAUGCAGCCAGAAAAAGCACUGCUGCCAGCCCAGGCAGAGACUUGAGCCUCAGCCGCACUCUGCUCUUUCUGCUCACUUCCAGCCCCUUUCUCUCCGCAGCCACAGUGUGGUUCCAACUCACGUCACUUUGCUUUGACACAGCAAAGCAGCCACUGGGGCAUUGCCUCGACACAGCCGUGUCUCGGUGCUGCUGCAGGCUGGGCAGGCAGUGCUGCUAAGCGGGAACGUGUGUCUGGUUGGACGAAACCCGCUCUUUGGAUCCCAUCUGCUCCACCUCCAGCUGAAAAUCUGCCUCACUUCUCUCACCCCACCCCUCCAGGAACACAGAACGUUUUUAGUUUACAAAACUCUCUGCCAAAUUCCAAAUUGAAAGAGUGCUUUGGCUAGAGAUCAGCAUUAAAGAAAGCAAACAAGAAACCUCUCCGCUGGCCCUGCAUCCCUCUGCAGUGCGGGAAAUGCUGGACCUUAUCCUCAGUGCCUCAUCUUGGGGUACUGAGAUGCCCUGUAGGCACCUCAUGCUCAGAGGAGAUGGCAAAGCAUGGUGGGGCAAAGACCACGCUGACAGCUGCUGUCAUGAAGCCGGACUGUGUCCUUGCUGUGGAAGCAGCUUUCAGCCCAUCCCACACAGCAACAAACACAGCUCACCUUGCAGACUGGGGGGCAGCUCUGGGUUCCAAGCCCAGACCCCUGCGUGCCUGAAGCUGCCUGUCAAGGAAAUUGCACCCCAAGCGCAUUCAACUUGCAUGUAUUUUUCUAAACAAAGCGGGCUAAUUUUAGCUGCUUUUCUUCCUGCGCUGUGCUGCAGUCUGAGCAGCACCCAGCUCCCCGGUCAAUCUGGCUGUGGUGUACAGAAGGAAUAAUUAAACCCUGAACGAUUCCUC